RNAcentral lists this ribosomal RNA (494 nucleotides) under uncultured rumen bacterium. RNAcentral describes it as "bacterial SSU rRNA". It matches the Rfam family "Bacterial small subunit ribosomal RNA", at positions 34 to 527 of the family's 1533-position model. The record is from RNAcentral.
CGCUGGCGGCGUGCUUACACAUGCAAGUCGAACGAAGCGACAGUGAAGGAGGCUUCGGCCAAUGGAUCUGUUGACUUAGUGGCGGACGGGUGAGUAACGCGUGAGCAACCUGCCUUUCAGAGGGGGAUAACGUUUGGAAACGAACGCUAAUACCGCAUAACGUAUUUUCGCUGCAUGACGAAGAUACCAAAGGAGCAAUCCGCUGAGAGAUGGGCUCGCGUCCGAUUAGAUAGUUGGUGGGGUAACGGCCUACCAAGUCGACGAUCGGUAGCCGGACUGAGAGGUUGAACGGCCACAUUGGGACUGAGACACGGCCCAGACUCCUACGGGAGGCAGCAGUGGGGAAUAUUGCACAAUGGGCGAAAGCCUGAUGCAGCAACGCCGCGUGAGGGAAGACGGUUUUCGGAUUGUAAACCUUUGUCCUUGGUGAAGAUCAUGACGGUAGCCGAGGAGGAAGCCACGGCUAACUACGUGCCAGCAGCCGCGGUAAUACG